RNAcentral lists this ribosomal RNA (51 nucleotides) under Diaporthe caulivora. Its description in RNAcentral is "partial small subunit ribosomal RNA". The record is from RNAcentral. Lineage: Eukaryota; Fungi; Ascomycota; Sordariomycetes; Diaporthales; Diaporthaceae.
CUUAAAGGUUGUAACAAGGUAUCCGUUGGUGAACUAGUGGAGGGAUCAUUG